RNAcentral lists this non-coding RNA (106 nucleotides) under unclassified sequences. RNAcentral's name for it is "DUF3577 RNA". It matches the Rfam family "DUF3577 RNA". The record is from RNAcentral.
CGGAUCAUAAGGCAGCAUUGCUGUCGAAAUCGUCUGCAAUCCGGGCAAUGCCACGCCAGUGGAAUGACGACUGUUCCAAUCGCCGCAAUCUUGUUGCGGUAUCAAU